This 60-nucleotide microRNA precursor is filed under the name Strongyloides ratti. RNAcentral's name for it is "microRNA str-mir-8366b precursor". The record is from miRBase by way of RNAcentral. Lineage: Eukaryota; Metazoa; Nematoda; Chromadorea; Rhabditida; Strongyloididae.
ACAGUAUUGAUAUGUGGGUGACAGAUUUUAAAUUCAUGUACCCGUAAUCCAAUGCUGCAA